Molecule: non-coding RNA, 3854 nt
Organism: Chiloscyllium plagiosum (whitespotted bambooshark)
Lineage: Eukaryota; Metazoa; Chordata; Chondrichthyes; Orectolobiformes; Hemiscylliidae
Source: RefSeq, a predicted model, not a curated record
GGGGGUCAGUGUGGACUCGAUGGACUGAAUGGCGUGCUUUCACACUAGGCAUUCUGUAAUACCAUCAAAAUUCCAAGCAGUGUUGUCUGAGACUAGGUAGUGAAUAAAAUGAGCUUGUGGUGAGUCUACUUCAAAGCAUUGCUCUCACUUUAUACUUUAGAAGUGCCUCCUGUCAACUUUGCAGCUCCAUCCAGUCUGGUAUAAUACUAAAUGGUAAAGGUAAAGCUGCCAUAGUCUUAGACUAUAGGGUUCCUCUCACUUUGAAGAGAGAUCAUAGGUGGUAGUUUAAUCUGAGGGACACCACGCCUCAGGUGUGGGGAGAUGUUGAGAAGGGCAGUCUUCAUUGUGCAGUAAUUGAACCCACGCUGGUCACAUCACUCUGCAUCAUAAACUAGUUAUCAAGCCAAGCCAAGCCAACUCAACUAAACUCUGCAGUCUACCUGUGAAUUGUGGUGGGCAAUUGAAUAAUUCAUUGGAGGAGGCUGCUCCAUAAAUAUCAUCGCUGAAAAUGUGUUGCUGGAACAGCGCAGCAGGUAAGGCAGCAUCCAGGGAACAGGAGAAUCGACGUUUCGGGCAUAAGCCCUUCUUCAGGAAUGAGGAAAGUGAUCAUCCCCAAUGAUGGGGAACCCGGGACCUAGUGUACAAGACAAGACUGAAGCAUUUUGCAACAGUCUUCAGCUGGAACUGGAUGAACAGUCUUGACCUGGAACUGGAUGAACAGUCUUGACUUCCUCCAGAGUCCCCCAGCAUUACAGGCGGUGAUAUUAAUAAACAUUUGAAGGCAGUGGAUACAGCAAAGAUUUUCCCUCCAACAUAAGGUCACAAGCGAAGAUAUUUGCUGAUUGUACCGUGUACUCUCAACCUCAAUUGUGACUUCUCAUACUUAAGCAACAUGUGUCUAAUCUUAGCAAAAUUUCGACAAUGUCCUGGUUUGGGUUGACAAAUGGAAAGUACAUUCGUGCCAGAUAACCAUCCUAUCCAACAAGCGAGUCAAACCAUUGUCACUUGACACUCAAUGGCUUUAUCGUCUCCUACUAUCCACAUUCUGAGGGUUACCAUUGACCAGAAACUGAACUGGUCCAGAUCAGAAACUAGGAACCCCGUAGCAGGUAAGUUACUACCUAACUCCUAAAUCUGUUCACCAUCUACAAGGCGCAAGUCAAGAGUGUGAUGGUAUAUUCCCCACUUGCUUGGUUGAAUGCAACUCCACCAACACUGAAGAAGCUUGACACUAUCCAGGACAAAGCAUCCUGCUUGAUUGGCCCCACAUUAGUAAAUUUCCUCCCCCACUGACACACAAUUACACCAGUGUGCCCAUUUAUACGAUUCACUGAGGAAGUUUACAAAGAUUCCUCAGGUAGCACCUUACAAAUCCUUGACCACUGUCCAUCUAUAAGGACAAAGGCAGCAGAUACACAGAACAUCAUCACCUUCGAGCUCCCUGCUGAACCACCCACAAAUGUGACAUUAAGCUAUUGGCGAUCCUUCAACUUCACUUGAUCAAAACCCUAGAAAUCCCUUCCUUACUGUGCUUUAAGUGUACUAUGCCCAAUGGACUACAGCAGUUCAAGAAGGCAGUUCAUCACCAUAUUCUGAAGGGCAACUUCAGAAGGGCAGGAGUAAUUAAAAACUGGUCCAACAAACAAAGGAAACAUCCCAGGAUUGAAUUUAGAAUUAGCUUAAUUGUCAUGUACUCAAAUGAGUACAGUGAAAAUUGUACAAGUUGCUGCUGUGGCUCCAUCUUCAGUAGAAAGGUCCCUAAGUACAGCUGCUUCACUUACAGUUCUGAGAAAAUUAGAGAAGUAAAAAGUCCAGCAUUGCAGAUUUUAUGAAUAAAUGAUAAAAUGAAGGGAAAAAAGUUCAGAACAACUAUCUUCCAACCCAGUCCAGGCUGGCACCCAGCCCCCAGUCUGCCUGGGCCUUGACUGCAGACCACAUCAGGCUUCACCUCCAACUUCAUGAGGCUGGGAGAUCACUGUGGAAUUGCCUCAAGACCAACGGUCCAGUAGGUGUUGUUGGCUUAGGUUUGGAACACAGACUCAUCUGCUGUCUUUCACUCAAGCUGUAGGACGUGGCUGGGAGAGGGCUAAACCUAAAGUUGAAUGACUGAUUUGCCUAACAUAUCUCCACGAGUCCAGCUGCAGGGUUCAAGUGAACAAUAUGAAUUGCUUCCAAAUAAGGUCUUCAGUCUUUUACAGUGGGAACAUAUGCUAAUGUGUUCACGGAUCCACCAGCUGAAGACAACUAUGUUUCAGCCUGCUUUAAGAGAAUUUUGAAUUGAUGCUGAAUAAUGAGUAUAAUCUUCUGGUUUGGUUAAAAAUGUGAUGCACAGUGACAGAAUGUAUACCGUCUACACGAUGCACUGCAGCAAUUCACCCAGAUUCCUUCACAGUAACUUCCAAAGGAUAAAGAUGGCAGAUUCAUGGAAACAAUACCAUCUGCAAGCCACACAUCAUCCUGACUUGGAGCCAUACCACCAUUCUUCACUGUCAAUGAAAACGUCCUUUCCAGUUGCAAUGUGGAUGUAUUCAUUCACACCAUGGACUACAGCAGAGCAAGAAACAGCUUACCAUCAUCUUCACAAGAGCAGUUAAGGAUGGACAAUAAAUUCUGGUCUAAUCAGUGAUGCCCAGAUCCCUUGAAUGAAUAAACAAAACAAUCAUUGUUGGCAUUGCCAAUGAUGUUCACUCACAAAAGUGAAUAAAGAAUACAUUUCUGCAUCUCUGAUUGCAAUAGAUACGAUUUAUUAAUAUAGCUCAAAAAUGCAUUUGAUUGUUGGAGCCAAAUCAAAGAGUGGAAAGGCUAGCUGUAAUUUACAUGGAUAAUAAUAGGAUUGAAUGAAGUAAGAUAUUUACAGUAGAAAAACAAACAAAAUUUCCAUUGAGAAAAUUAAUCCUCAGAAUUGCCACAUGCAUUUUCCAACAAAUUUGAUAGAACUCCCUGAAAAAUGUAAAAAUGGUAGGUCAUGCAGUUUUUUUCUGAGGGUUCUAAUAAUGUCAACAAAAUAUGGGUAGGAUGGUCCACAUGCAAAUUUGAGGUCAUUAUUUCUAGCAAGCACAAUUGCUUAACCCUUAGAAAAGUAAUCGAUAAAUAAAUAAAUGAAUACUACAUUGAUAACAUAUUUGCAUGCUUCAAAAUUAGAAAUGUGUAUUCCAUCAUGAAUUUGAGCAAAUAAACAAGUACAAUAUUGAAGCAGUCCUACAUUCUUUACACAUAUUCUGAAGUGUAAUCAUCCAAUUGAGAUAUUAAACUGUGUGCUCAAGUGGAUAAGUGAGGACCCCAUUAAAUUAUUUAAAGGAAAAGAAAGUUUGAUUAUGUCCUAAGAGCAUUCGUUUUCCACCUAAAUUAUCAAUAUCAGACUAUCUGCUGAUUACUUCCCUGUUUGUGACAAUUUAUUUUGCUAUCACCGUACUAUCUAUAAACCUUGUCCUCUGCCUGCUCAGUACAUUGAUUGUUAUUCAGAAAAUACCCCAUUGGCUGUGAUCGUUAUGUCUAAAGGUGAUGAUAAUUAGUUGCAGGUCCUUUCUUUUAAUAACUAAGUCUACCUGAAACAAAUUUGAAAAGGUAUCAUCCUGCUUUUCAGGGGAAUCUGAGAGAUAACAAAAGAACUCCAAAACCAUGCUUGGUGUGCACUAUUGGUAAUGCAUUUUCUGGAAGUCAGGCAGUUUUGGUGCCUUUCUCUGAGCACUGAGUCUCCACCUCCCUGAAACUGACUUCAGUUGUAGGGAACAGGAGACAGUGAAUUUAAUGAGUUUUGGCUUUUAUUUAUAUAUUGUUCUAACAUUGUAGAAAAUCAUGAAAGUGCAUGUGAUGCUAUUGUAAUCUGUGUAUUAUAAAAGUGGUAUGACAACUAA